CUCGAACUUCCGCGCAGGCCUUACAGUCGAGAUUCCCUGUGCAGCGCAUGAAAGAUGGCGACAGGUUAGAAACUGCAUUUCAGAGAUUCUGUGUUUGUCUCCUCCUCUGCCCUCAACCCCGCCCACACCUCCGUUGAGGAAGCACCCUCGAGCGCAACAAGCAAAGAGAGGAAGCCUGGGAAUAAUGGCUAAUUCCUGGGAGAGAAGAGGAGAUUACAGGGAUGAGUCCCGCACACUGGAGCCCACUCCACCCACCCGUUACAUAAGCGUGGAUGAGAAGCGGCUGAUCCACACUGUGUGGGUGGGUGUACGUGUCUGUGCGGAUGCGAAUCUCCCCCCAGAUUCGCCGAGAGGUUGCCUUGGAAACACAAUUGGUAAAUCUGUAUGCAGGCAGCUGCUGCAUACCAGGUAGGGGAAAAUAACAGAAGAACGGAAAUAAGCAGCUAAAGAAAAUCAGAAAAGGCUAAAUUAGUGUAAUUAGAUUUAGGUCCAUGGUGUAUAUUUGAGCAAAGUGUUUUCUUUAUGAGACAGAGACACAGCUGCAGCAAAUUUCUCCACACAACCUGAUCAAAGUCCUCUGAAAUGCUUUAUCUGGUUUUGAGUGUGACCUGCAUUGAGCACAUGAGGACUAAACACCCUCCUAAUUUCAUAACCCGCUAAUGUUUCAGAUUUCUCAUGCUUUUCUCUUUAGACUGAACUCUCACUGGAGUCAAAGCCUGUGGGAGGUAGUUUAUUAUUACAUAAUUAUAACAUGUAUUUCUCUGCAGAGCCUGACUGUACUUAUUUCCAAAAAACGCUAAACCAAGCAUUGUGUCUUUUACCCUAUAGGUGUGUAUCUUUUUAAACUUUAAUAUGAAUAUAUAUUUAUUUUAAACAAUGGAUUUUCUAUGAACACAAAAAAGUAAGUUCUGUGUUAUGCAGUGUAUUGAACAGUGGACUGAGGUGGACUAUU
This is a long non-coding RNA of Anguilla anguilla (European eel), 952 nucleotides long. RefSeq lists it as uncharacterized. The transcript is spliced from 3 exons. The record is from RefSeq and is a predicted model, not a curated record. NCBI's taxonomy places the organism in Eukaryota, Metazoa, Chordata, Actinopteri, Anguilliformes, Anguillidae.